RNAcentral lists this long non-coding RNA (411 nucleotides) under Selaginella moellendorffii. Its description in RNAcentral is "long non-coding RNA (SMOE_LNC002417)". Lineage: Eukaryota; Viridiplantae; Streptophyta; Lycopodiopsida; Selaginellales; Selaginellaceae. The record is from RNAcentral.
GCCUCCUCUACUUGCUCUCGAUCACGCCGUCUCGACAACGGCACACGGAGAAUGUGGAUUGCACAAAGUGGCGCCGUGAUCUCGCCGGAUUGCAGCACCACGGGGUGCCUUUGACCCUAAACGCCUAAACGCGCCUAAAUCCUAAACUCUCUGCGGUUCAAAAGCAUCCAAGCGGGCCUCACCAGCUUUGCUUGGUUGCAAAAGUACAUCCCACGCACCAAGUAAGCUUAAGUUCUCACAUUGUUUCUCUUGUCUCCAACAGAAUCCAGUAAAUUCGAACAAGAAUCUCCUAGAAUCGGACCUCUCUGCCAAUGGAAGGCCAACACAACUCCAUGCAUUGGCUCUGGAACAGGAGAAACGAGCCACAAUGCCCCUCACUCCCCUCGCACGGGUCUGGCACAGCAAAUCUCC